This 205-nucleotide ribosomal RNA is filed under the name Clostridioides difficile. Its description in RNAcentral is "partial 23S ribosomal RNA". It matches the Rfam family "Bacterial large subunit ribosomal RNA", at positions 2425 to 2629 of the family's 2925-position model. Lineage: Bacteria; Bacillati; Bacillota; Clostridia; Peptostreptococcales; Peptostreptococcaceae. The record is from RNAcentral.
GGUUCUGCGUGGAAGGGCCAUCGCUCAACGGAUAAAAGCUACCCUGGGGAUAACAGGCUUAUCUCCCCCAAGAGUCCACAUCGACGGGGAGGUUUGGCCCCUCGAUGUCGGCUCAUCACAUCCUGGGGCUGUAGUAGGUCCCAAGGGUUGGGCUGUUCGCCCAUUAAAGUGGUACGCGAGCUGGGUUCAGAACGUCGUGAGACAG